This 500-nucleotide ribosomal RNA is filed under the name uncultured Glomeromycotina. Its description in RNAcentral is "partial small subunit ribosomal RNA". It matches the Rfam family "Eukaryotic small subunit ribosomal RNA", at positions 591 to 1092 of the family's 1831-position model. Lineage: Eukaryota; Fungi; Glomeromycota. The record is from RNAcentral.
CCAAUAGCGUAUAUUAAAGUUGUUGCAGUUAAAAAGCUCGUAGUUGAAUUUCGGGAUCAGUACGCUGGUCAUGCCUUUGGUAUGCACUGGUGUCACUGGUUUCUCCCUUCUGAAGAUCCGUGAUGUCAUUAAUUUGGUGUCGCGGGGAAUCAGGACUGUUACUUUGAAAAAAUUAGAGUGGUUAAAGCAGGCUCACGCUUGAAUACAUUAGCAUGGAAUAAUGAAAUAGGACGUUUGACCCUAUUUUGUUGGUUUCUAGGAUCGACGUAAUGAUUAAUAGGGAUAGUUGGGGGCAUUAGUAUUCAAUUGUCAGAGGUGAAAUUCUUGGAUUUAUUGAAGACUAACUACUGCGAAAGCAUUUGCCAAGGAUGUUUUCAUUAAUCAAGAACGAAAGUUAGGGGAUCGAAGACGAUCAGAUACCGUCGUAGUCUUAACCAUAAACUAUGCCGACUAGGGAUCGGAUGAUGUUAAUUUUAUAAUGACUCAUUCGGCGCCUUACG